GACGUAGGUGGCAAGCGUUGUUCGGAAUCACUGGGCAUAAAGCGCACGUAGGUGGCUGGGUCAGUCGGAUGUGAAAUACCUCGGCUUAACCGAGGAACUGCGUCCGAUACUGCCCGGCUUGAGGUCCGGAGGGGAGAGUGGAAUUCCCGGUGGAGCGGUGAAAUGCGUAGAGAUCGGGAAGAACGCCGGCGGCGAAAGCGACUCUCUGGUCGGAUCCUGACACUGAGGUGCGAAAGCUAGGGGAGCAAACGGG
RNAcentral lists this ribosomal RNA (253 nucleotides) under uncultured bacterium. RNAcentral describes it as "partial 16S ribosomal RNA". It matches the Rfam family "Bacterial small subunit ribosomal RNA", at positions 524 to 776 of the family's 1533-position model. The record is from RNAcentral.